RNAcentral lists this unclassified non-coding RNA (352 nucleotides) under soil metagenome. RNAcentral's name for it is "partial contains 5.8S ribosomal RNA, internal transcribed spacer 2, and large subunit ribosomal RNA". The stretch from base 1 to 120 matches the Rfam family "5.8S ribosomal RNA", at positions 35 to 154 of the family's 154-position model. The record is from RNAcentral.
GAUGAAGAACGUAGCGAAAUGCGAUAAGUAAUGUGAAUUGCAGAAUUCAGUGAAUCAUCGAAUCUUUGAACGCACAUUGCGCCCGCCAGUAUUCUGGCGGGCAUGCCUGUUCGAGCGUCAUUACGACCCUCAGGCCCCCGGGCCUGGCGUUGGGGAUCGGCGGAGCCCCCCGUGGGCACACGCCGUCCCCCAAAUGCAGUGGCGGUCCCGCCGCAGCUUCCAUCGCGUAGUAGCUAACACCUCGCGACUGGAGAGCGGCGCGGCCACGCCGUAAAACACCCAACUCUUCUGAAGUUGACCUCGAAUCAGGUAGGAAUACCCGCUGAACUUAAGCAUAUCAAUAAGCGGACGA